Molecule: ribosomal RNA, 641 nt
Filed under: Thaxterogaster cf. variegatus CFP525
Lineage: Eukaryota; Fungi; Basidiomycota; Agaricomycetes; Agaricales; Cortinariaceae
Description: eukaryotic LSU rRNA
Rfam family: 5.8S ribosomal RNA (bases 249-402)
Source: RNAcentral
GGAAGUAAAAGUCGUAACAAGGUUUCCGUAGGUGAACCUGCGGAAGGAUCAUUAUUGAAAUAAACCUGAUGAGUUGCUGCUGGUUCUCUAGGGAACAUUUGUGCGCACUUGUCAUCUUUAUAUCUCCACCUGUGCACCUUUUGUAGGCCUAGGAAUUUAUUUUCCCAGGUCUAUGUUUCUUCAUUAUACCCCCCAAUGUAUGUUAUAGAAUGUAAUAAAAUGGGCCUUUGUUGCCUAUAAACCUAUACAACUUUCAGCAACGGAUCUCUUGGCUCUCGCAUCGAUGAAGAACGCAGCGAAAUGCGAUAAGUAAUGUGAAUUGCAGAAUUCAGUGAAUCAUCGAAUCUUUGAACGCACCUUGCGCUCCUUGGUAUUCCGAGGAGCAUGCCUGUUUGAGUGUCAUUAAUAUAUAUCAACCUAGUGUUGGAUGUGGGGGUCAAUUUUUUUGCUGGCUUUUUCUUGUCAGCUCCCCUGAAAUGCAUUAGCAGAACAAUUUCUGGAUCGUUCAUUGGUGUGAUAAUUAUCUACGCUAUUGACGUGAAAGCAGGUUCAGCUUCUAAUAGUCCAUUGACUUGGACAAUUUUUUCAUUAAUGUGACCUCAAAUCAGGUAGGACUACCCGCUGAACUUAAGCAUAUCAUA